This 254-nucleotide ribosomal RNA is filed under the name uncultured bacterium. RNAcentral's name for it is "partial 16S ribosomal RNA". It matches the Rfam family "Bacterial small subunit ribosomal RNA", at positions 524 to 776 of the family's 1533-position model. The record is from RNAcentral.
UACAGAGGUCUCGAGCGUUAGGCGGAAUCACUGGGCUUAAAGCGUGUGUAGGCGGAUCGUUAAGUGCCUUGUGAAAUCCCACGGCUCAACCGUGGAACUGCUUGGCAUACUGGCGGUCUUGAGCAACCUAGGGGCGAGCGGAACAAAUGGUGGAGCGGUGAAAUGCGUAGAUAUCAUUUGGAACGCCAAUGGUGAAAACAGCUCGCUGGGGGUUUGCUGACGCUGAGACGACGAAAGCCAGGGGAGCAAACGGG